This is a non-coding RNA of Schistosoma curassoni, 45 nucleotides long. The record is from Rfam. Lineage: Eukaryota; Metazoa; Platyhelminthes; Trematoda; Strigeidida; Schistosomatidae.
AUAUAAGUGACGAGUCCCAAAUGGAACGAAACGCAUGUCCUGGAU